AUAUUGCACAAUGGAGGAAACUCUGAUGCAGCGAUGCCGCGUGGAGGAAGAAGGUUUUCGGAUUGUAAACUCACGUUUCGAGGGACGAUAAUGACGGUACCUCGGGAGGAAGCUCCGGCUAACUACGUGCCAGCAGCCGCGGUAAUACGUAGGGAGCGAGCGUUGUCCGGAAUUACUGGGUGUAAAGGGAGCGCAGGCGGGAUUGCAAGUCAGGUGUGAAAUGCGGGGGCUCAACCCCUGAGCUGCACUUGAAACUGUAGUUCUUGAGUGAAGUAGAGGUAAGCGGAAUUCCUAGUGUAGCGGUGAAAUGCGUAGAUAUCAGGAGGAACAUCGGUGGCGAAGGCGGCUUACUGGGCCUUUACUGACGCUGAGGCUCGAAAGCGUGGGGAGCAAACAGG
This 398-nucleotide ribosomal RNA is filed under the name uncultured bacterium. RNAcentral's name for it is "bacterial SSU rRNA". It matches the Rfam family "Bacterial small subunit ribosomal RNA", at positions 361 to 776 of the family's 1533-position model. The record is from RNAcentral.